AUGGACCUCGACGACGACAUGAUACCCUACUACGCCUCCGGCGACUCCUCGCCGUCCUCCUCCGACCUCGACACCGAGUCGACGGGGUCCUUCUUCCCGGACCGGAGCACGACGCUGGGGACGCUGAUGGGCGUGUCGACGUUCGGCGGCGCCGGUGUGCAGCGGCGGCUGACUCGGGCGGCGCCGGGGCAGGAGAGCGAGAGGCCGACGCGGGCGGCAACGGAGGAGCGAGACGGGCGGCGCGCGGGCGGGUGGCGACGGAGGAGGCGGCGGCGGGGCGGGAGCUGGUGGCGGCUGUGCCGCGACGACGCCAGCGGGCCGCCGACGAGGCUGGGCGAGUUCCUGGACAUGGAGCGGCAGCACGCCGGCGCCGACUUCCUGUGCGCCGGCCCGCAGGAGCCGGACCCGCCUUCGGUGGCCGCGACGCCGCUGUUCGAGGACGGGAGGGUGCGCCCGCCGCAGCAGCGCGCCGCCCCGCCGGAGGAGCGCGGGAGGUGGCGGCUGCAGCGGGCCGCGGAAGGGUCGUCCACGUCCUCGUCGCUGGCCAGGCUCCCGGUGCUGCUCACCGGCAUCUGCAGCGGCGGCGCUGGGUAG
RNAcentral lists this ribosomal RNA (594 nucleotides) under Triticum aestivum (bread wheat). RNAcentral's name for it is "partial small subunit ribosomal RNA". The record is from RNAcentral. Lineage: Eukaryota; Viridiplantae; Streptophyta; Magnoliopsida; Poales; Poaceae.